RNAcentral lists this small RNA (812 nucleotides) under Pan troglodytes (chimpanzee). Its description in RNAcentral is "retained intron". Lineage: Eukaryota; Metazoa; Chordata; Mammalia; Primates; Hominidae. The record is from RNAcentral.
GAAAGUAAGCUACAAAGAUAAUAUAGUCCAAGGAUGGCAAAAACAUCUCCCUGCAAUUAUUUCUCCAUUCCAUGUCUAUCACAGACAUUACCAAUCAAUCAUGGUACUUUUCUACAAAGUUUGGGUUAGAGUCCUUCUCAAUUCAGUACCCAAGCAGGCCAUCACUUGAGCUUGUAAAGGAAAUAAAUCCUAUUUCUUGGUCCUGAGUCCAACCAUGUCAUUUUACCAGAGAGGAAAUAGGCCUUGAGAAGGGAAAUGACUUACCCUAGGUCACAGCCAGUCAGUGACAAUGCAGAGAAUGUAAGACAGAACUUUGGGAAUUAGGCACCACAACUAGGCCUCGUAGGAUCAGAAUCCAGAUGUCACAACCCCCAUGGCAGCCUUUUCCCACACUCUGCAGCUGCCCUCUGCCUGCUCAGCUGACUGUCCUAACUGAAAGGGCGUGGCAGGGAUGAUCCUACAAUUCCAGGUAAGAUGUAUGUCCUGUCUCAUUUGCAGUUCGCCUUGCCAAGGAGAAGGAGGAGGAGAGCUUGAAUCAAGAGACCAGAGCCCAACCCCAGGCCAAAGCAGAAAGCAAACCAGAAGGAAGAUGUGGCUGAGGCCGAGAGCACAGGUGAAAUGCCAGGCGAAGAGGGCGAAACUGCUGGUGAAGGUGAAACUGAAGAGAAAAGUGGAGGUGAAACUCAACCAGAAGGUGAAGGUGAAACUGAAACACAAGGAAAAGGAGAAGAAUGUGAAGAUGAAAAUGAAGCAGAAGGAAAAGGAGACAAUGAAGGUGAAGAUGAGGGUGAAAUCCACGCAGAAGAUGGUGA